Equus caballus (horse) is the source of this 97-nucleotide non-coding RNA. Lineage: Eukaryota; Metazoa; Chordata; Mammalia; Perissodactyla; Equidae. The record is from Rfam.
GUGGCUGCCGGAUGGGUGCUCUCUACUAGUGCUGUGCAGAGGCUUUUGCUGAGGCUGCUGUGAGCCUGGAGGGUUUCCCCCAAGGCUAUGGAGCCAG